Mus pahari (shrew mouse) is the source of this 104-nucleotide small nuclear RNA. Lineage: Eukaryota; Metazoa; Chordata; Mammalia; Rodentia; Muridae. The record is from RefSeq and is a predicted model, not a curated record.
UGCUCACUGUAGCAGCACUAUAGUAAAAUUGGAAUGAUACCGUGAGGAUUAACAUAGCCCAUGCACAAGGAUGACACACAAAUUAUGAAGUAUUCUAUAUUUUC